This 210-nucleotide long non-coding RNA is filed under the name Solanum tuberosum (potato). Its description in RNAcentral is "long non-coding RNA (STUB_LNC005831)". Lineage: Eukaryota; Viridiplantae; Streptophyta; Magnoliopsida; Solanales; Solanaceae. The record is from RNAcentral.
AUAAUUUUUGCUUUCCUAGAGGUAAAAUUGCAGUACAGAGGAUUUUUUGCAUAUUGAAGGAUAGAAAAGGAAAGGGAUCUUAGAAGAUUAUUAUGACUAGGUGUGAGAAAUAAAAAGAUAUGCACCACCAUCAAAACCUCCAGAUUCACGGCCUAAUCCAGUCUUUUUCUUCUUCGAUGAAGUUUUUGAAUAAUUUCAGCAAGGUUUAUG